AUUGAACGCUGGCGGCAGGCCUAACACAUGCAAGUCGAACGGUAACAGGAAACAGCUUGCUGUUUCGCUGACGAGUGGCGGACGGGUGAGUAAUGUCUGGGAAACUGCCUGAUGGAGAGGGAUAACUACUGGAAACGGUAGCUAAUACCGCAUAACGUCGCAAGACCAAAGAGGGGGACCUUCGGGCCUCUUGCCAUCGGGGGUGCCCAGAUGGGAUUAGCUAGUAGGUGGGGUAACGGCUCACCUAGGCGACGAUCCCUAGCUGGUCUGAGAGGAUGACCAGCCACACUGGAACUGAGACACGGUCCAGACUCCUACGGGAGGCAGCAGUGGGGAAUAUAGCACAAUGGGCGCAAGCCUGAUGCAGCCAUGCCGCGUGUAUGAAGAAGGCCUUCGGGUUGUAAAGUACUUUCAGCGGGGAGGAAGGGAGUAAAGUUAAUACCUUUGCUCAUUGACGUUACCCGCAGAAGAAGCACCGGCUAACUCCGUGCCAGCCGCCGCGGUAA
RNAcentral lists this ribosomal RNA (506 nucleotides) under uncultured bacterium. Its description in RNAcentral is "partial 16S ribosomal RNA". It matches the Rfam family "Bacterial small subunit ribosomal RNA", at positions 30 to 523 of the family's 1533-position model. The record is from RNAcentral.